UCCUGCGCAGGACGCGGGCCUCGCCCGGGCGCAGCACCGGCCCCGGCACGGUCAGCACCGGGCAGUCCGCGUGGUCCUGGACCGCGCGCAGGACCC
This 96-nucleotide transfer RNA is filed under the name Streptomyces gardneri. RNAcentral describes it as "tRNA-Cys". Lineage: Bacteria; Bacillati; Actinomycetota; Actinomycetes; Kitasatosporales; Streptomycetaceae. The record is from RNAcentral.